UCCCUUGUGGUGCAGUGGUUAGGACUCUGCACUUUGACUGCUGAGGGCUCGGGUUUGAUCCCUGAUCAGGGAA
Molecule: non-coding RNA, 73 nt
Organism: Bos taurus (domestic cattle)
Lineage: Eukaryota; Metazoa; Chordata; Mammalia; Artiodactyla; Bovidae
Source: Rfam